This 484-nucleotide ribosomal RNA is filed under the name uncultured bacterium. RNAcentral describes it as "partial 16S ribosomal RNA". It matches the Rfam family "Bacterial small subunit ribosomal RNA", at positions 28 to 507 of the family's 1533-position model. The record is from RNAcentral.
GUUGAACGCUGGCGGCAGGCCUAACACAUGCAAGUCGAGCGGAUGAAGGCAGCUUGCUCCUGGAUUCAGCGGCGGACGGGUGAGUAAUGCCUAGGAAUCUGCCUGGUAGUGGGGGAUAACGUCCGGAAACGGGCGCUAAUACCGCAUACGUCCAGAGGGAGAAAGUGGGGGAUCUUCGGACCUCACGCUAUCUGAUGAGCCUAGGUCGGAUUAGCUGGUUGGUGGGGUUAAGGCCUACCAAGGCGGCGAACCGUAACUGGUCUGAGAGGGUGAUCAGACAAAAUGGAAAUGAGGAAAGGUGCAGAAUACUACGGGGGGCAGCAGUAGGGAAUAUUUGGACAUGGGGGGAAGCCUGAUGCAGCAACGGCGCGUGGUGGAAGAAGGUCUUCGGAUUGUUAAGCACCUUUAUUUGGGAAGAAGGAGUGUUAAGUUAAUUGUUGGUGUUUUGACGGUACCUAACAAAAAAGCCACGGCUAACUACGUG